This 253-nucleotide ribosomal RNA is filed under the name uncultured bacterium. RNAcentral describes it as "partial 16S ribosomal RNA". It matches the Rfam family "Bacterial small subunit ribosomal RNA", at positions 524 to 776 of the family's 1533-position model. The record is from RNAcentral.
UACGUAGGGUGCGAGCGUUGUCCGGAAUUAUUGGGCGUAAAGAGCUUGUAGGCGGUUUGUCGCGUCAGAUGUGAAAGCCCCGGGCUCAACCUGGGAACUGCAUUUGAAACUGGCGGGCUUGAGUAUGGCAGAGGGGGGUGGAAUUCCGCGUGUAGCAGUGAAAUGCGUAGAGAUGCGGAGGAACACCGAUGGCGAAGGCAGCCCCCUGGGCCAAUACUGACGCUCAGGCACGAAAGCGUGGGGAGCAAACAGG